GAAAUGCGAUAAGUAAUGCGAAUUGCAGAAUUCAGUGAAUCAUCGAAUCUUUGAACGCACAUUGCGCCCGCCAGUAUUCUGGCGGGCAUGCCUGUCCGAGCGUCAUUUCAACCAUCAAGCCCCCGGGCUUGUGUUGGGGACCUGCGGCUGCCCGCAGGCCCUGAAAACCAGUGGCGGGCUCGCUGUCACACCGAGCGUAGUAGCAAUCACCUCGCUCAGGGCGUGCUGCGGGUUCCGGCCGUUAAACAGCCUUACAAAACCCAAGGUUGACCUCGGAUCAGGUAGGAAGACCCGCUGAACUUAAGC
This 306-nucleotide unclassified non-coding RNA is filed under the name plant metagenome. RNAcentral describes it as "partial contains 5.8S ribosomal RNA, internal transcribed spacer 2, and large subunit ribosomal RNA". The stretch from base 1 to 105 matches the Rfam family "5.8S ribosomal RNA", at positions 50 to 154 of the family's 154-position model. The record is from RNAcentral.